Molecule: ribosomal RNA, 253 nt
Filed under: uncultured bacterium
Lineage: Bacteria
Description: partial 16S ribosomal RNA
Rfam family: Bacterial small subunit ribosomal RNA
Source: RNAcentral
UACGAAGGGGGCUAGCGUUGUUCGGAAUUACUGGGCGUAAAGCGCGCGCAGGCGGCUAUCCAAGUCAGUGGUGAAAGCCCGGAGCUCAACUCCGGAACUGCCAUUGAAACUGUUUAGCUUGAGGACGAGAGAGGUGAGUGGAAUUCCCAGUGUAGAGGUGAAAUGCGUAGAGAUCGGGAGGAACAUCAGUUGCGAAGGCGGCUCUCUGGACCAGCACUGACACUGAGGCACGAAAGCGUGGGGAGCAAACAGG